GACGGAAGGUGCAAGCGUUGCUCGGAAUCACUGGGCGUAAAGGGCGCGUAGGCGGCCUGGCAAGUGGAAGGUGAAAUCCCUCGGCUUAACCGAGGAACUGCCCUCCAAACUGCUUGGCUUGAGUCCGGGAGAGGUGAGUGGAAUUCCCAGUGUAGCGGUGAAAUGCGUAGAUAUUGGGAGGAACACCAGUGGCGAAGGCGGCUCACUGGACCGGAACUGACGCUGAGGCGCGAAAGCGUGGGGAGCAAACGGG
Molecule: ribosomal RNA, 253 nt
Filed under: uncultured bacterium
Lineage: Bacteria
Description: partial 16S ribosomal RNA
Rfam family: Bacterial small subunit ribosomal RNA
Source: RNAcentral